CCUACGGGAGGCAGCAGUGAGGAAUAUUGGUCAAUGGACGAGAGUCUGAACCAGCCAAGUAGCGUGAAGGAUGACUGCCCUAUGGGUUGUAAACUUCUUUUAUAUGGGAAUAAAAUGUUCCACGUGUGGGAUUUUGUAUGUACCAUAUGAAUAAGGAUCGGCUAACUCCGUGCCAGCAGCCGUGGUAAUACGGAGGAUCCGAGCGUUAUCCGGAUUUAUUGGGUUUAAAGGGAGCGUAGGUGGAUUGUUAAGUCAGUUGUGAAAGUUUGCGGCUCAACCGUAAAAUUGCAGUUGAAACUGGCAGUCUUGAGUACAGUAGAGGUGGGCGGAAUUCGUGGUGUAGCGGUGAAAUGCUUAGAUAUCACGAAGAACUCCGAUUGCGAAGGCAGUUCACUGGACUGCAACUGACACUGAGGCUCGAAAGUGUGGGUAUCAAACAGGAUUAGAUACCCGUGUAGUC
This 460-nucleotide ribosomal RNA is filed under the name uncultured bacterium. RNAcentral describes it as "partial 16S ribosomal RNA". It matches the Rfam family "Bacterial small subunit ribosomal RNA", at positions 338 to 795 of the family's 1533-position model. The record is from RNAcentral.